Drosophila pseudoobscura is the source of this 668-nucleotide long non-coding RNA. RefSeq lists it as uncharacterized. Lineage: Eukaryota; Metazoa; Arthropoda; Insecta; Diptera; Drosophilidae. The record is from RefSeq and is a predicted model, not a curated record. The transcript is spliced from 6 exons.
AAUCAAACCCUUUGUUUUCUCUUUGCUUCUUUCUUUUCCGCGCGCGCCGACCGUGCGCACUGCGCAGUAGAAGGGAACUUCGUUUUUUUUCUUUCCGUCUCUUUGGCGCCUGCGUCGGCAGAACUUUGUUGCUUUUUUCGCUUUGCGUGGGCGCAAGAGAGUAAGCAACAAUUAGCGCUGUGAUUUAUUGAAAAAUCUAUAAAUUAUCUAUUAUUAUCAGUAUGGAAAAUACACCCACGCAAAAAAUGAAGCGCUUUAUCUUGGAUGCAGAGCGUAAAACCUAUGCCAAAGGAACAGCCAAUAUCGCGUAAUGUACAUGUAUUUUUAAUUACUUUACGCACUAUAUUAGAGCAGAGCAACGUAUAAUUGCUGCAUUUAAAAAAGAAAUUGUCGAACUAAAAUCAAAAAUUGACGUUCUAACGGAAGCUGUGGCGGAGGCGGUGACCCUUAUUAUAUUGCAAGAUAAAAAAAAUUACGGAACCUAGUGGGGACGAGACCAUCUAUGUCCAACUGCCUAAGAAAAGUGCUGCACGAGAGGCUGAUGUUGGCGUAUUAUUUGGAUGAAGCCUCGGAAGAAGUUUCAAGAAAUCGGCGGUAAAGUUGAAGAAUGAAAGAUCAAAAAACCCAGAUGAAUAUUAAAUUUUCUUGAAUUUAACAGAUUGAAAAAC